UCUGGUGAAUAUGAUGACUAUCUUUUUUCCCCAGCAGAUCGACUUUGUUGACUGUCUGCUAUUUUAAGCCAAAUUUGUCUGAUUCACCAGC
Small nucleolar RNA from Lepisosteus oculatus (spotted gar), 91 nucleotides. The record is from Ensembl. Lineage: Eukaryota; Metazoa; Chordata; Actinopteri; Semionotiformes; Lepisosteidae.